RNAcentral lists this ribosomal RNA (406 nucleotides) under Dendryphiella sp. FV-150-II_ITS-4_S10239. Its description in RNAcentral is "eukaryotic LSU rRNA". The stretch from base 61 to 214 matches the Rfam family "5.8S ribosomal RNA". Lineage: Eukaryota; Fungi; Ascomycota; Dothideomycetes; Pleosporales; Dictyosporiaceae. The record is from RNAcentral.
GGACAAAAUCAAAACCUUUUGUAAUUGCAGUCAGCGUCAGAAAUAACUUUUAAUAGUUACAACUUUCAACAACGGAUCUCUUGGUUCUGGCAUCGAUGAAGAACGCAGCGAAAUGCGAUAAGUAGUGUGAAUUGCAGAAUUCAGUGAAUCAUCGAAUCUUUGAACGCACAUUGCGCCCCUUGGUAUUCCAUGGGGCAUGCCUGUUCGAGCGUCAUUUGUACCCUCAAGCUUUGCUUGGUGUUGGGCGUUUGUCUCGCGUUGCGCGUAGACUCGCCUUAAAGCGAUUGGCAGCCGGCAUAUUGGCCUUGGAGCGCAGCACAUUUUGCGAAUCCAGUCAUUUAUGUUGGCGUCCAUUAAGCCUAUACAUUUUGCUCUGACCUCGGAUCAGGUAGGGAUGCCCAGUUCU